UAACCGAACAAAAGAACCAUAAUAUUAAUAUUCCUCUUAAAACCCACCCCAUUGAUAGAGCUACAGAGAAGAUGGAGGUGAGCAUGGGUGAGAAAAUGGCGGGAGCUGAAGUUGCGCCGCGGUUCAAAUCCAAGAAAGGGGGUGUAAUUCCUCCAAAAAGAAGAUUAGUGAAGAGGAUGAUGUUUGACUCCAUACUUAAAUUUAUUGCUACUCUUCUUUGCGCCAAUCGCCAUCCUUCUCCCUCUGACAUCGGAAUCAUUUCGCCCCCCAACAAAUCAACAGAGAAUGUGAAGAUGAAGAAUAUGAAGAUUUUCCCGCACGGAGGCCAUCAAGUAUCUGCUGCAAUCUCCAAAUGACCAUCAGCGAAAGCUUAGCCGAUAUUUGUAGUUUUUUUUUUUUUUUAAAACCUUUAGCUUUUUUAUGGUGUGGGUCAAGAUUGUACAUAUUUACUUCAUUUGGUGAGUUCUUCUGUUAACAGGGGAUCGCGUUGUUGUACAUUCUCCAGGGUCAAUCCCUGUGAUUGCUAUUGGGGUACGGUGUGUUAGGUCUAUUUAAUAUGUGCUUUCUGUAUAAAGAAAUAAAUAUUUGACGUGCACAUCAAUUUUUACUUCUUAUUUCUUAAUUAAGGUUUCGAUGUGAAACCUUUUUUUUACGUAGAAUGUUUUUUUUUUUAACCUUUUUGGGUGUUUCCCUGCUUCUAAAACUUCCCCUUCUCUGCACAUCCAACGGCACCAUUUUCGCUUCUCUCUCUCUUCCUCUCUGCAGUCCUCAAAAGUCAAAACUCCUCUCUCUUUCCCCCGCGAAGCUCUAUUUCUCCAUUUUCUCCAGUGCAGGACAACCGAGCCGCCAUCGAUCUAUAGAGGUGUCAUUAGAAUUUUUUUGACUUGGCUAUUGGUACGGGAAUCAAAUAUGGAUUGCUUGAUUGCAUCUGCAUUGCCAGAAAUAUAUGUACAGGUGGUGACACGUACAAAGGAGUGGUCUGUUUUCUCCCUUUUCAAUUCCCCGUUGAAAAUUGAAACUUGAAGUGUAGAAGUGGGUCCUACUACCCUUCUUUGGUGGAUGCUUCCAGGAAGUGUCCAAGCAGCUUCCUCUGUCCAGGCAAAAAAAGAAUACCGAAGCAAAAAGAUUAAAAUUAAAUUUGACUUUCUACAUUUGUUUCUUUCUUUUUUGCAAAAGAAUGAGAUGGUUUGUAUCAUCAUGUUGAAGCGACUGUUACUUGCCGGUUGCCACACGAAGAUAAGGUGAAAGUUCUUUGAAGAACAGAAAUCCCAAUGAUUUCAAUUGUGCCUUGUUCAAACUUCCAACACUUAACAUAGGAUUGCUGCUGGACCCUUCUAACUAGAUUAUAUAUGUAAACGAAGAUAAUCAAAUAAUUUUAGCGAUUAAAAAAUUUGAUCUUGUUCUCCUUUUUGAGUA
This is a long non-coding RNA of Alnus glutinosa, 1416 nucleotides long. RefSeq lists it as uncharacterized. The transcript has 3 exons. The record is from RefSeq and is a predicted model, not a curated record. NCBI's taxonomy places the organism in Eukaryota, Viridiplantae, Streptophyta, Magnoliopsida, Fagales, Betulaceae.